RNAcentral lists this ribosomal RNA (497 nucleotides) under uncultured bacterium. Its description in RNAcentral is "partial 16S ribosomal RNA". It matches the Rfam family "Bacterial small subunit ribosomal RNA", at positions 28 to 507 of the family's 1533-position model. The record is from RNAcentral.
GAUGAACGCUGGCGGCGUGCCUAAUACAUGCAAGUCGAGCGAACAGACGAGGAGCUUGCUCCUCUGACGUUAGCGGCGGACGGGUGAGUAACACGUGGAUAACCUACCUAUAAGACUGGGAUAACUUCGGGAAACCGGAGCUAAUACCGGAUAAUAUAUUGAACCGCAUGGUUCAAUAGUGAAAGACGGUUUUGCUGUCACUUAUAGAUGGAUCCGCGCCGCAUUAGCUAGUUGGUAAGGUAACGGCUUACCAAAGCAACGAUGCGUAGCCGACCUGAGCGGGUGAUCGGCCACCCUGGAACUGAGACACGGUCCAGACUCCUACGGGAGGCAGCAGUAGGGAAUCUUCCGCAAUGGGCGAAAGCCUAACGGAGCAACGCCGCGUGAGUGAUGAAGGUCUUCGGAUCGUAAAACUCUGUUAUUAGGGAAGAACAAAUGUGUAAGUAACUAUGCACAUCUUGACGGUACCUAAUCAGAAAGCCACGGCUAACUACGUG